UCCUCCCCUGCAGUGACCUCUGAAGGUUUCAUGCUGACUGAAGUCAAGCAAUGAUCACGCCACAUCCAACCAGUGCUGCACCGUGGGAGUGUAAAACAUACUGGUGACCAGCGCUCCCAGCACAGGGCGGUGCCCUAGGCGCCUGUCUAAAUGGCCUAUAUCUUUAGCCGGCCCUGGUUGGUUUCAUCCAACACUGCCAUUGGUGGGACGCAUCGGGCUCAGGGGUCGAUGCCGGUGACUAUCAAUGCUGACCAAGGAACAGAGCUGUGCAACAAGAACGAGGGCGGAACAUCGUUUUCAGACCUCUUUUCCUCUUUAGACCCACCGGUUAUCUUUCAGCCUCACUUACAGGUACGUGUGUGUGUGUGUGUGUGUGUGGAGGGGUGGAGAUGGUUGAGUUUGGUGCACAGACGGUGUGGUUCCAUUUCUACGGCCCAUUGUCCUCCAUCAGGCGCAACGGGAUGUUAUCAGCCUCAGCCAGGCUCAACCCCCAACAAUGCUUCAUUACCUGUGUGUGUGUGUGUGUGUGUGUGUGUGUGUGUGUAUUCUCAUCCUGCAAACAAUGCUUCAUUACAUGUCUCUCCCAGGGCUCCCUUAACAUUUCUUCCUGUCUCAUUAUCCAGUGAGAGUCGUGUUAUCUGUUCCUGUCAUAUUUACCGAGCAGACCUUUGCCUUCUUGGAAGCACACAUGGGCAUAUGUGCAUACACACAGCUGUCAUUUGUUAGCAGCCUAAUCCUGAUAUCAGUGCUUGUAAUGAGUAAUUACUUCGUGUUGAAUCACAUGUACAUACUAUAGAUGUAAUAUUUAGUCAG
Micropterus salmoides (largemouth bass) is the source of this 813-nucleotide long non-coding RNA. RefSeq lists it as uncharacterized. The record is from RefSeq and is a predicted model, not a curated record. Lineage: Eukaryota; Metazoa; Chordata; Actinopteri; Centrarchiformes; Centrarchidae. The transcript has 3 exons.